GCGCCAUUGGUGGAAAUGGUAGACACGCGGUAUUGCCUAAACACUCCAGCGGUGUGUUUAGGAAUACCGUGGGGAAACUCUUGCAGGUUCAAGUCCUGCAUGGCGCACCA
RNAcentral lists this transfer RNA (110 nucleotides) under Agrobacterium pusense. RNAcentral describes it as "Rhizobium pusense tRNA-OTHER". The record is from RNAcentral. Lineage: Bacteria; Pseudomonadati; Pseudomonadota; Alphaproteobacteria; Hyphomicrobiales; Rhizobiaceae.